Molecule: unclassified non-coding RNA, 364 nt
Filed under: uncultured bacterium
Lineage: Bacteria
Description: contains 16S-23S intergenic spacer region
Source: RNAcentral
UCCCGGUUGGCCCGGGCAGUCUCGCAUGAAAAAUACAACAUACGAUAAGGGUUGCGCUCGUUGCGGGACUUAACCCAACAUCUCACGACACGAGCUGACGACGGCCAUGCAGCACCUGUCACCUGGCUCCCGAAGGCACCCCACUGUUUCCAGCGGGUCCCAGGGAUGUCAAGCCUCGGUAAGGUUCUACGCGUAGCGUCAUAUUAAACCACAUCCUCCUCUGCUUGUGCGGGUCCCCGUCAAUUCCUUUGAGUUUUAGCCUUGCGGCCGUACUUCCCAGGCGGCAUACUUAUCGCGUUAGCUUCGACGCACAGGGGGUCGAUACCCCAUACGUCUAGUAUGCAUCGUUUACGGCGUGGACUAC